CCUAAUGUUCUUCCUCCUCCUCUUUUUUCAAUUGCACGGCUCACCCUAUCUUUUCAAUUGCACGGCUCAUCAUCUUCUUCUUAUUGAGUUUGUUACACACCUACCACCUUUCUUCCCCAAUCUGUUCCAACCUUUGGGUCGUGCUUCGCCGGUUUCUUUCUUUCAAAAGUGAAUCAGUAAGAAGAAGAGUGGAAUACCUACUGAGGAGAUCUAGAGUUUCGGUGGGCUGGUUUAUGGGCUGCAAAAAAUUGAUUGUAUUGGUUGAUGCUGAAAAGAGAUAAGUUCAAAAGAGAUAGAUGACAUGCCCAAAGCAGUAUUCAUUUGCUUUCAAGAAUUGGAGGCUAGGAUAACUUCUUCCAUUGCAAGAGAUGUGCACCUGAGAAGAAGCACCGUCUCCCAUAUGCUUACAAUAGUUUCAUGAAGUUCCUUAUCUGAAUAUUCUCAGAUCAAAUAUUAAUCAGGGGGUUUAUUUCAGCUUCUGAGUUCAUGACACAUGCUGAAUAAUAAGGAUUAGAUUAAGAGAAGAAGGUGGAUGAUGGCAACAAAACAAUAGACCAAGGUAGAAGUUCUGAUUAUUCAUGUGAAAAUUAAGAUUAGAGCUGCAGAAUCUGAGUUUAGUGUCUUAUUAAUCUUUAAUCAAUUAUUUUGUGCUGGAAGGGGAGAAAAAUUUGUAUUGGAGGUGUUUGAUCCGGCAAACUAUGUUAAGAAUGGGACUACUUUCUACUUUCCUUUGAUUCUGUAGGCUGUAACUGAAGAAUAAACAGGAAGGGAAUGAUGCUGCUACUGUUGCAAAGGAGAAACACUCAACAAAGGAAAAAAAUCAUAAAAGGAAAAAGGGCUUUUCCAUGGGAGAUGUAUGAUGGAGACCAUAGUAAUAGAAGAUUUAAGGAAGAUUUUGGUUUCAUCUAUUAUAAGGCCGUGUUACAAGUAAGGUAUAUACUCUCUUUUUACAAUCUUGAUGUUGUGUUCCUGAGGAGUGAGGAAGAAUACCACUGAUAUGUAUCAACCUGAAUAGAAGUAACUGCACAACACUUAAAAACUAAUAUUAUAAGAAGUUUGAGGUGUAGAAGCUUAGAUAAAGUGAUUUGCUGAUUCUAAUGGAUUUGAUUAGAACUUUAGAUUGUGUUUAUGGUAAAAAAGAAAAGACAGGGUAUUUUUGAAUCUUUACAUUCCCACUACUUUCUUUCCACCCCAUGUGACAGUUACAACCUUUUACUUCCAAUUUCCAAACAGCUGCACCGGUUAAAAUGCACCCCUUCAUAUUCUAGCUGCUUAUUUCCAAGAAAUUUUGUUUCAAAAUUCAAAUUUAAUUGCAAUUUUUUGCUUUCUUGCCUGUCAAACAGUCCCAUUAUAAAAAUUCAAAUUAACAAAAAUCCUUUUGUUUUUGCUUCUUCUAUCUGCACAGCUCCUCUUUACAUGGCUGUUUUUGCAUACUUAAGAAAUUGCCCUUUCUAGCUGCAUAUUGCAGCUUAUCUUUUGCAGCCUAUAUUGAGCAAUAAUAUAAAUGAAAUUAUAUACAGCUAAAAAGUAGAAUGUUGAAUGUCUUGCAAGAAUGUAUAGUUGAUAAGUACUAAAGGUAUCUUGGCUGAUAUAUUUAUCCAUGUCAGAACAGUUUUGGGGAAUUAGAAGGUAUCUUGGCUGAUAUAUUUAUCUAUGUCAACGAGAAGUAAUAUUUUUUCCUUGAUUUGUUCCCUGUUGGGUUUUUAUGAAUUUUAUGUUUUGGUUUUCAUUUCAAGCUAUUACCAUUCUUACUCUUAUUUAUUUAUGAUUAGCAGUCAGUUUUAUAUUGUUGGCAUCGGUAUUAGAGCAGCAGUGGCAUCAAGUUCCGGUUGGCUUAUAAAUGAAACUCUAAGAGCCUCAAUUUCUUUAGUCUUUUUUUUUUCUUUUCUACAUAUUGAUAUAUGCAUGAAUGAUUUCUGUUAAAAUCUCAUUUACAUAAUAAAAGUCAUAUGAUCCUGGGGUACAUGUGGUCUUGGAAAUUUUUUUAGCUUUUAUCUUUCCACACCUCUUAAUUAUCUUCAGAUUGUCAAGUCUUCAUUUACAUGUUUAGGCUUUACAUAUCUCUGUAAAAAAUGGCUCCCAAUGGCGUACUUUCAUGCUGAUCUCUUUUCCCUUUUGAAUUAGUUUCUUGCUGUAAUUUUUUGACUUGAAAAUCUUUGGAUUAUGUUCUACAAUUCAAGAAGUCAUGAUAGAGGAGAAGGUUCACAUUAACAUUGUUACCAUUGGAGAUUUACCUUUAUUUUAUUCCCAUUAAAUAAUGUAUUCACUUUUAUUUGUUCA
Long non-coding RNA from Lotus japonicus, 2280 nucleotides. RefSeq lists it as uncharacterized. The record is from RefSeq and is a predicted model, not a curated record. The transcript is spliced from 6 exons. Lineage: Eukaryota; Viridiplantae; Streptophyta; Magnoliopsida; Fabales; Fabaceae.